AGUGAACGCUGGCGGUAGGCCUAACACAUGCAAGCCGAACGGCAGCACAGUAAGAGCUUGCUCUUACGGGUGGCGAGUGGCGGACGGGUGAGGAAUACAUCGGAAUCUACUUUUUCGUGGGGGAUAACGUAGGGAAACUUACGCUAAUACCGCAUACGACCUACGGGUGAAAGCAGGGGAUCUUCGGACCUUGCGCGAUUGAAUGAGCCGAUGUCGGAUUAGCUAGUUGGCGGGGUAAAGGCCCACCAAGGCGACGAUCCGUAGCUGGUCUGAGAGGAUGAUCAGCCACACUGGAACUGAGACACGGUCCAGACUCCUACGGGAGGCAGCAGUGGGGAAUAUUGGACAAUGGGCGCAAGCCUGAUCCAGCCAUACCGCGUGGGUGAAGAAGGCCUUCGGGUUGUAAAGCCCUUUUGUUGGGAAAGAAAAGCAGCAGGUUAAUACCCCGCUGUUCUGACGGUACCCAAAGAAUAAGCACCGGCUAACUUCCUG
This 492-nucleotide ribosomal RNA is filed under the name uncultured bacterium. RNAcentral's name for it is "partial 16S ribosomal RNA". It matches the Rfam family "Bacterial small subunit ribosomal RNA", at positions 29 to 507 of the family's 1533-position model. The record is from RNAcentral.